AAAAACAUAACUGUAUGAGAUAUUAUGCAGCUUUUUCUGCUCCAUGACAUGUUAAAUAGCCGCAGUACUCUGACUGUGCAAAGGUAGCAUAAUCAAUUGGCCUCUAAUUAAGGUCUGGCAUGAAUGAACGCAUGGGUAAUGACUGUCUGAGGGAUGUUAAUUGAAAAUUAUUAAGUUGGUGCAAAUGCCAACAGGAUUAAAAAAGACGAGAAGACCCUAGAAACUUAUAGUUGAUUUUGCUGGGGCGGCAGAAUUGCAUAUAACCAAUUUUAAUUUACGUGAAGCGACGCAGAAAGAAAAAGUUACUCUAGGGAUAACAGCAUAAUUUUAAUAGUUUGUGACCUCGAUGUUGGACUAGGGAUGUUACCUUCUAGAAGAAGGUAAUUAUGGCUCUGUUCGAGCCCUUAGCCCCUACGUGAUCUGAGGUC
Molecule: ribosomal RNA, 428 nt
Filed under: Codringtonia helenae
Lineage: Eukaryota; Metazoa; Mollusca; Gastropoda; Stylommatophora; Helicidae
Description: partial large subunit ribosomal RNA
Rfam family: Bacterial large subunit ribosomal RNA
Source: RNAcentral